Molecule: ribosomal RNA, 406 nt
Filed under: uncultured bacterium
Lineage: Bacteria
Description: partial 16S ribosomal RNA
Rfam family: Bacterial small subunit ribosomal RNA
Source: RNAcentral
AUUGAACGCUGGCGGCAGGCUUAACACAUUCAAGUCGAGCGAGCGGCGGACGGGUGAUUAAUGUCUGGGAAACUGCCUGAUGGAGGGGGAUAACUACUGGAAACGGUAGCUAAUACCGCAUACCAUCAGAUGUGCCCAGAUGGGAUUAGCUAGUCGGUGGGAUAAUGGCUCAACUAGGCGACGAUCCCUAGCUGGUCUGAGAGGAUGACCAGCCACACUGGAACUGAGACCAGGUCCAGACUCCUACGGGAGGCAGCAGUGGGGAAUAGUGCACAAUGGGCGCAAGCCUGAUGCAGCGAUGCCGCGUGUGUGAAGAAGGCCUUCGGGUUGUAAAGCACUUUCAGCGAGGAGGCGUUACUCGCAGAAGAAGCACCGGCUAACUCCGUGCCAGCAGCCGCCGUAAUUC